RNAcentral lists this ribosomal RNA (253 nucleotides) under uncultured bacterium. RNAcentral's name for it is "partial 16S ribosomal RNA". It matches the Rfam family "Bacterial small subunit ribosomal RNA", at positions 524 to 776 of the family's 1533-position model. The record is from RNAcentral.
UACGAAGGGGGCUAGCGUUGCUCGGAAUUACUGGGCGUAAAGGGCGCGUAGGCGGCCAUCUACGUCGAACGUGAAAUCCCCGGGCUCAACCCGGGAACUGCGUCCGAUACUGGUUGGCUUGAAUCCGGGAGAGGGAUGCGGAAUUCCAGGUGUAGCGGUGAAAUGCGUAGAUAUCUGGAGGAACACCGGUGGCGAAGGCGGCAUCCUGGACCGGUAUUGACACUGAAAAGCGAAAGCCAGGGGAGCAAACGGG